This 440-nucleotide ribosomal RNA is filed under the name uncultured bacterium. RNAcentral's name for it is "partial 16S ribosomal RNA". It matches the Rfam family "Bacterial small subunit ribosomal RNA", at positions 338 to 795 of the family's 1533-position model. The record is from RNAcentral.
CCUACGGGAGGCAGCAGUGGGGGAUAUUGCACAAUGGGGGGAACCCUGAUGCAGCGACGCCGCGUGGGUGAAGGAGCGUUUCGGCGCGUAAAGCCCUAUCGGCAGGGAAGAAAAUGACGGUACCUGGCCAAGAAGCCCCGGCUAACUACGUGCCAGCAGCCGCGGUAAUACGUAGGGGGCAAGCGUUAUCCGGAUUUACUGGGUGUAAAGGGGGCGCAGACGGCAAUGCAAGCCAGGAGUGAAAGCCCGGGGCCCAACCCCGGGACUGCUUGUGAAACUGCAUGGCUGGAGUACAGGAGGGGCAGGCGGAAUUCCUAGUGUAGCGGUGAAAUGCGUAGAUAUUAGGAGGAACACCGGUGGCUAAGGCGGCCUGCUGGACUGUGACUGACGUUGAGGCCCGAAGGCGUGGGGAGCAAACAGGAUUAGAUACCCCUGUAGUC